GCCAACACAAGUCCUCAGAGGCAGCCAAGCAUCCAGUAUCUGGGGCUGCAGGAAGCUGGGAAGAAAGGAUCCAGGGUAAACAUACCUUCCAAGCUGGCCAUUGCUCUAUAACUUUCUUGGCAGCUUCCUGCUUUCUAUAGCAUCCUUUGAAGUUGGGGACUAGAUGACUGGGAAAACCGAGAUGAGUUGAUAGGGAGAAGCUUUGUCAUCUUUGCACUAACCUGGACGUAUUUUGGGUUCACCAGGCAAAAUUGCAAGGGAAGGAGGGCUCAGCCACAGUGAAAAUAAAUUCUCAGCAUUGUGUGACAAUAUAAGGAAUGCCAACAAGAGCUGUAUCAACAACCUUCCUUUGGGGCCAGUGUCUUCAUUCUUACCAGGAUGUAAGAGCAAGAAUGUAUACGAGGAAAUGAAAUGAGCAUAGACCUGGGCAGGAUUCCUUCCGCCCGAUGUCCUGACUUGUCUUUGCAGCCCAGCUUCUUGAUAGCCCUGCAUAACUACCUUCAGUCCCAGUUGUUGGUCUCCGAGAAUGCAGCCAAGCAAAGUAGAUACCUCAUGAGGGCGUAGAAGCAAGUUUACAGGUAAAAUACCUGCUUUUCCUGAGCUGUACAACCUACAGUUCAACCUGUACCACCACCUGUGAUCUGUUCUUUGGCGGGGAUAAGAUAUGCCACCUGCCAUCAAGAAUCUACAUGAUCUGAAAAGGGAACCGCUGAGUGCAUGCCGCUGAAUGACUAAAGGAUGGGGGAGUA
This 749-nucleotide long non-coding RNA is filed under the name Sus scrofa (pig). RNAcentral describes it as "lncRNA (ENSSSCG00050007705.1)". The record is from RNAcentral. Lineage: Eukaryota; Metazoa; Chordata; Mammalia; Artiodactyla; Suidae.